Phyllostomus hastatus (greater spear-nosed bat) is the source of this 551-nucleotide long non-coding RNA. RefSeq lists it as uncharacterized. The record is from RefSeq and is a predicted model, not a curated record. Lineage: Eukaryota; Metazoa; Chordata; Mammalia; Chiroptera; Phyllostomidae. The transcript has 3 exons.
ACACUCAAGAAUUCCCAUUCUGUGGGCAUCAGGAACUGGCUGACUUCAUGGGCAAGAAAAAGUGUGGGUAUUCUGAAAUUGAGCCAGCUACCCGUGGAGGUGGAGGUGGAGAUGCAGAACCGCAGGGAGAGACCCAUGGAAGAAGGGAGGAAUCACAGUGGCAGGUGGCAGGCUCCAAGGACAGUACGAUACCAUGGCAACCGCUUCUGGCUGAGAGUCCAAGGUCAAGAUAUGAGCGGGUUUGACUUCUUCUGAGGCCUCUCUCCUCGGCUUACAGCAGCCAUCUUCUCCCUGGGUCCUCGUAUGGCCGUCUCUCCGUGUGUCCUUUCUCACAAGGACACCAGUCUGGCUGGAUUAGGGCCCACUCUACCAGCCUCGUUUUAAUUUAAUCACCCCCUAAAGACCACCCCACCUUCUCCAGCCCUGGCUGGGUAGCUCAGUCCGGUAGGGCCUUGUCCCAGCACACCAGGGUGGCAGGGUCGAUGCCCGGUCAGAGCACAUGUUUGCAAGAAUGAACAAGAAUAAAUGUGUGGGUGAGUGGAACAACAAAC